AGAGUUUGAUCCUGGCUCAGAAUCAACGCUGGCGGCGCGCUUAACACAUGCAAGUCGAGCGAGAAAGGGGCGACCUGAGUAAAGCGGCGUACGGGUGAGUAACACGUGGAUGAUCUACCUUUUAGUGGGGAAUAACCUUGCGAAAGCGAGGGUAAUACCGCAUAAGCCUGAAGAGGGAAAGCAGCAAUGCGCUGAAAGAGGAGUCCGCGGCCGAUUAGCUAGUUGGUGAGGUAAAGGCUCACCAAGGCGACGAUUGGUAGCCGGCCUGAGAGGGCACACGGCCACACUGGCACUGGGAUACGGGCCAGACUCCUACGGGAGGCAGCAGUGGGGAAUCUUGCACAAUGGAGGAAACUCUGAUGCAGCGACGCCGCGUGAGCGAUGAAGCCCUUCGGGGUGUAAAGCUCUUUCGGCAGGGACGAUAAUGACGGUACCUGAAGAAGAAGCUGCGGCUAACUACGUGCCAGCAGCCGCGGUAAUACGUAGGCAGCGAGCGUUGUUCGGAAUUACUGGGCGUAAAGAGUGUGUAGGCGGUGUUCUAAGUUUGGUGUGAAAUCUCCCGGCUUAACUGGGAGGGUGCGCCGAAGACUGGAAUGCUUGAGCGUGGGAGAGGAAAGCGGAAUUCCUGGUGUAGCGGUGAAAUGCGUAGAUAUCAGGAGGAACACCUGUGGUGUAGACGGCUUUCUGGACCAUUGCUGACGCUGAGACACGAAAGCGUGGGUAGCAAACAGGAUUAGAUACCCUGGUAGUCC
RNAcentral lists this ribosomal RNA (752 nucleotides) under uncultured bacterium. RNAcentral's name for it is "bacterial SSU rRNA". It matches the Rfam family "Bacterial small subunit ribosomal RNA", at positions 8 to 796 of the family's 1533-position model. The record is from RNAcentral.